AUACGGAGGAUCCGAGCGUUAUCCGGAUUUAUUGGGUUUAAAGGGAGCGUAGGCGGACGCUUAAGUCAGUUGUGAAAGUUUGCGGCUCAACCGUAAAAUUGCAGUUGAUACUGGGUGUCUUGAGUACAGUAGAGGCAGGUGGAAUUCGGGGUGUAGCGGUGAAAUGCUUAGAUAUCACGAAGAACUCCGAUUGCGAAGGCAGCUUGCUGGACUGUAACUGACGCUGAUGCUCGAAAGUGUGGGUAUCAAACAGGAUUAGAUACCCUGGUAGUCCACACAGUAAACGAUGAAUACUCGCUGUUUGCGAUAUACAGUAAGCGGCCAAGCGAAAGCAUUAAGUAAUCCACCUGGGGAGUACGCCGGCAACGGUGAAACUUAAAGGAAUUGACGGGG
Molecule: ribosomal RNA, 393 nt
Filed under: uncultured bacterium
Lineage: Bacteria
Description: partial 16S ribosomal RNA
Rfam family: Bacterial small subunit ribosomal RNA
Source: RNAcentral